UACAGAGGGUGCAAGCGUUAAUCGGAAUUACUGGGCGUAAAGCGUGCGUAGACGGUCAUGUAAGUCGGGUGUGAAAGCCCCGGGCUCAACCUGGGAAUUGCAUUCGAGACUGCAUGGCUAGGGUGCGGAAGAGGGAAGCGGAAUUUCCGGUGUAGCGGUGAAAUGCGUAGAUAUCGGAAGGGACACCAGUGGCGAAAGCGGCUUCCUGGUCCAGCACCGACGUUCAGGCACGAAAGCGUGGGGAGCAAACAGG
Molecule: ribosomal RNA, 253 nt
Filed under: uncultured bacterium
Lineage: Bacteria
Description: partial 16S ribosomal RNA
Rfam family: Bacterial small subunit ribosomal RNA
Source: RNAcentral